Molecule: ribosomal RNA, 253 nt
Filed under: uncultured bacterium
Lineage: Bacteria
Description: partial 16S ribosomal RNA
Rfam family: Bacterial small subunit ribosomal RNA
Source: RNAcentral
UACAGAGGGGGCAAGCGUUGUUCGGAAUUACUGGGCGUAAAGGGCGCGUAGGCGGCCUGCUAAGUCGAACGUGAAAUCCCUGGGCUCAACCCAGGAACUGCGUCCGAUACUGGUUGGCUUGAAUCCGGGAGAGGGAUGCGGAAUUCCAGGUGUAGCGGUGAAAUGCGUAGAUAUCUGGAGGAACACCGGUGGCGAAGGCGGCAUCCUGGACCGACACUGACGCUGAUGCGCGAAAGCCAGGGGAGCAAACGGG